Zophobas morio is the source of this 791-nucleotide long non-coding RNA. RefSeq lists it as uncharacterized. NCBI's taxonomy places the organism in Eukaryota, Metazoa, Arthropoda, Insecta, Coleoptera, Tenebrionidae. The transcript is spliced from 2 exons. The record is from RefSeq and is a predicted model, not a curated record.
ACUUGAAGCAAAAGUGUAUUAUGUUCAAAUGAACUACUGAAGGCAUUUUCUAAUUGUUCAAUGUAAUAUGCAAACUGUUCAUACGGAACAUUAAGAUUGCCAUAAGAUAAAGUUUCAGAAUUGUGGGCUUGGAAACGACAAUAAUGUAGUCUCUAGAAUUUCUGCCACAUGCAUUUGUAUAUUCACAGCAUAUGUGAGAAGAGUGUUUUAAGCAUGCAUCCACUGAGUGUCCACAUAUUUAUCGGCAUUAUGAGGUGGUUGGGAAUUAUUAAUUAUGGUGGGGAUGUUGUACCUCUCACUUAAAUUGGAAAUAUCUUGAUUAGCAGAUAAGAAUUGUGGUGUGAUCAAAUGAUUAAAACAGGACUUGCGUUCGUGGUGUAUUUAUUUUUUAUGUUGUCGGUUCAGUAGAUAAGGGAAGAGUGUUAGAGUCUGUGAUUUUGAAAAUGAAAAGACAGGUUGGUAGAGAGCGGUGAAACGGUUGUGUCGAAAGAGUUCUUAGAAGGUACUCGAAAUCUUCGAAGGAUAAGAAUUAUUGGGAAGGGUGAACAAAAGAUAAGUUUUACGACAUGCAGGUGGACGAAGAGAAAGUUUCAGGGUGAUAGUGGUUGGAAGUCAAUAAAUACAGACUAUAUACAAAUAUUACAUGUUGCACAAUUUUGUGGGAUUUGUUAGCCCCCACAAAAUGUUGCUAAAUCAAAAGCACAAUUACCAGUUGGGUUGUGCUGCAUAUAUUUUAUACAGAACAAUAGCUUGUAUUUGCUUAUAUUCUAAUAAAGUGUGAUGUAAAUAAC